UACGUAGGGGGCGAGCGUUGUCCGGAUUUAUUGGGCGUAAAGAGCGUGUAGGCGGCCAGGUAGGUCUGCUGUGAAAACUCGAGGCUCAACCUCGAGACGUCGGCGGAAACCAUCUGGCUAGAGUCCGGAAGAGGAGAGUGGAAUUCCUGGUGUAGCGGUGAAAUGCGCAGAUAUCAGGAAGAACACCCGUGGCGAAGGCGGCUCUCUGGACAGAGUCUGACGCUGAUGCGCGAAAGCUAGGGGAGCAAACAGG
This 253-nucleotide ribosomal RNA is filed under the name uncultured bacterium. RNAcentral describes it as "partial 16S ribosomal RNA". It matches the Rfam family "Bacterial small subunit ribosomal RNA", at positions 524 to 776 of the family's 1533-position model. The record is from RNAcentral.